RNAcentral lists this ribosomal RNA (393 nucleotides) under uncultured bacterium. RNAcentral describes it as "partial 16S ribosomal RNA". It matches the Rfam family "Bacterial small subunit ribosomal RNA", at positions 523 to 918 of the family's 1533-position model. The record is from RNAcentral.
AUACGGAGGAUGCAAGCGUUAUCCGGAUUUAUUGGGUUUAAAGGGUGCGUAGGCUGACGUGUAAGUCAGAGGUGAAAUCUCCGGGCUCAACCUGGGAACUGCCUUUGAUACUGCAUGUCUGGAGUUCGGAUGCCGUGGGAGGAAUGGGCAGUGUAGCGGUGAAAUGCAUAGAUAUUGCCCAGAACACCGAUUGCGAAGGCAACUCACGAAGCCGACACGGACGCUGAGGCACGAAAGCGUGGGGAUAGAACAGGAUUAGAUACCCUGGUAUUCCACGCCGUAAACGAUGAUGACUAACCGUCGGCGAUAGACAGCCGGUGGCCAAGCGAAAGCGAUAAGUCAUCCACCUGGGGAGUACGUCGGCAACGAUGAAACUCAAAUGAAUUGACGGGG